RNAcentral lists this ribosomal RNA (484 nucleotides) under uncultured bacterium. RNAcentral's name for it is "partial 16S ribosomal RNA". It matches the Rfam family "Bacterial small subunit ribosomal RNA", at positions 28 to 523 of the family's 1533-position model. The record is from RNAcentral.
GAUGAACGUUGGCGGCGUGCUUAAGACAUGCAAGUCGAACGAUGAAGGAGGAGCUUGCUCCUCUGGAUUAGUGGCGGACGGGUGAGUAAUACGUGAGCAAUGUGCCCUUGACUCUGGGAUAAGCGCUGGAAACGGCGUCUAAUACCGGAUACGACCAUCGGAGGCAUCUCCUGAUGGUGGUAAGAACUUCGGUCAAGGAUCAGCGCAAGGGCUAUCAGCUAGUUGGUGAGGUAAUGGCUCACCAAGGCGUCGACGGGUAGCCGGCCUGAGAGGGUGACCGGCCACACUGGGACUGAGACACGGCCCAGACUCCUACGGGAGGCAGCAGUGGGGAAUAUUGCACAAUGGGCGAAAGCCUGAUGCAGCAACGCCGCGUGAGGGAUGACGGCCUUCGGGUUGUAAACCUCUUUUAGCAGGGAAGAAGCGAAAGUGACGGUACCUGCAGAAAAAGCGCCGGCUAACUACGUGCCAGCCGCCGCGGUAA